CUGAAAGGAAGGAAGGCAGGGACUACCCUGGUCUAGUUCUCUCACUCUCUUAUCCCCAGAGGCUGGCAUAUAAGAGACAAUAAAUAUUUGUUGAACGAAGGACUGAGACUCAGAAUAAAGGACCAAAAGGCUCUUGGAACCCUUCCUUUCAGGAAAUGUUUCCGACCGGAAGGCUUUCUCGCGAACACCUUCCCCCUUUUUUGCCAGUCGGAGUCCAAUGGUCGCCCUAGGGCUCCUAGAAGAUCAAGUCCCGCCAUUCUUUCAGUCCCUAUGAGCGGGCUCCUGGGCGACUGCCCCUCCUUCCGCACGGAGGGAAGGAGCCACGCUCUGCGUCGCGGUCCCGGAACCUGAGGACGGCUCGCUGAGAGGGGAGGGUCCUCCAGAGAGAGCCUGUGGCACUGCUCCUCUGGAUUCAGCAAUGACCCUGAGUUUUUUCUCACCAGUGGAUUCUCCUGCUCUCAUCAUGAACCCCUCCCCUGAUUUGGACCCCUUCUUUUCUCCCCUCUGGCCUCCAUGAUCAUCUCCUUUCCUGAGUCAAGGCAGAUACCUGGGAGGGCAUACCCUAUGCCUGGACAUCUACAGUGUGUGAGUUUCCGGCCGGAGUACUUUCCUGCUGCUCUCCGAAUCCUGAAGCUGGGCAGUCCCUGCCUCCUGCUCCAGAAGGCGGAGCAUCCCCAGAAGUCACCCUUUCGGCCACCUCCGGACCCAAAAAUUUGCUGCGUCUGGAUACGGAGGCAGGGCGGGGGUCAGAGGAGUGAACAGGCUCGGGAGCUGUGGCAUUCUUAGAGUCCUGGCCGAUGGAGCAGGGAGGGAGCUGGGUGUGGGCCUGUGUGGCCCCCAGGGCAGUGGGUGUUGAAGACUGAGAAGCCUUGUGAGGCAGGGUUGGGGAGGGGCUGCCGAGACCAGGGGGUGAGGUCUAGAGAGAGAGCAGAAAGCGAGGAGUGGUUUACUUGGGCCCCAGUUGACCCAGAGACUCAGACCUGAGAUUCACUUUACUCCCCAAGCGGGAGAAGGGGUUGUUGCUUCGGAAAGCAAGAUAAGUGGGGCGAAUAGUGGACCUUAGAGGGGGUCAUCCAGGAAAGAUUCCUGAAGGAGGCAGGGCCCAGGCUGCAGGCUGGGGAGGCUUUGGGCAGCAGGAGGGAGGAGAGGGUGCUGGAGUAGGGAUCACUCUGCCACUCUCCCUGGAGAUCCGAGGUAAGCCUCUGGCCCUUUCGGGAGCUCAGUGGGUGCUUCUUUUUGCCAGCCUCCCAGGACUGUUGAGAAGAUUAAGCAAGACCCUGGAUAUGAAUGCUCAGUGUGAACUGAAAUUCAGGGGACAUGAGUAAACUGUCACAAAUGAGUCUGGAGGAUGAGAGAGAUUGCUGGGGCCCAGGUGUUUAUUUGGUAGUAUUGGGGGUGGGGGUGGAAUGGAAAUCCCAGACAGAGCAUGAGCCAAGGCACAGUGUCCCAAAAUUUGAGGUGUGAAUGGAGAAGUCAGCAUGAUCCAUUGCAGCUGUCUGGUCAGGGUUGAGUGAGGGCCGGGGUGAGAAAGGUAGUUGAGGCCAGGUUGUGAGAGGCCUUGAAUGCCAGGCUAAGGGGUUUAUAGUGUAGGCAGGACCCUGGGAGGAUUUUAAGCAGAGGUGGUGUUAGAAAGAUCCUUCUGGAGCUGGUGGACUGGUGAGUGGCGCGUACAGGUGAUGCCUAGCCAGCCUGGUGGGGGGGGUCAGAGGACAUAGGAUUCCAGAAGGCUAAGGAGGAGGUAGCCACUAGAGGAAAGGGGAAGAAUUGCCAGUCAGAGGAGAACACAGAAGCCUUUGGAUGUAGAACUGUGCAAACUCAAGUUCUGGCCGGGGGCUCUGAGAUGCUGUGUGUGGUUGGAACACAGGAAUGAGAAGUGGGGUGGAGGUGUGGGCGGACCACCUCACAAAUGGCCUCUGAUUCCAAGCUGAGGAACUUGGGCUUGGUCCUGAGGGUAACAGGGGACAUGGAAAGGUUUUGAAUGGUGCAGAAGUCACAUUCAACACAGCUGUGAGAAGAAUCUUGGGCUUGUAUGGGAUGAGAACUGGAGGUCAGGAUUCCAAGAAGUGGAUGGAGGGGCGGUUUGCUGGAAACCAGGGUUUGCGCUGGGGUGGCUGUGGCGGCUGUGGCGGUGGCAUUGAGGAGAAGUGUGAAGUGCUUGCCAGCAGGGGUCACAUGCACUGACUCAGGUCAGGGAUGUGUGACCUUAGGCCAAUCACACCAUCUCUCUGAGCUUCUGUUUCCUUAUCUGUAAACUAGGGAUUCUAAUGGAACUCACCUGGUAGGUCUGCUCUGCAGGUAUAAUGAAUUUAGGCAUGGCUGGUCCUGAGUAAGGGCUCAAUAAAUGUUGGUCAUUGUUGUCAUUAUUUCUGGGGAUAGUGGUGGGGG
Molecule: long non-coding RNA, 2385 nt
Filed under: Microcebus murinus (gray mouse lemur)
Lineage: Eukaryota; Metazoa; Chordata; Mammalia; Primates; Cheirogaleidae
Description: lncRNA (ENSMICG00000048418.1)
Source: RNAcentral